UGUGUGAAUGUAGAAAAAAUCGCGUACACUGGAAUUAUUUAUAAAAUACAAUAAAUCAUUAGAUACGCAAUCUUAUUUUUCUACUUUUUAUAAAUUCCUAUUGCAACGAAUAACGUAUUGUUUUUUUAAGUGUUUUUUAUUUAUUUUUUUUUUUUUUUUUUUUUGUAAGUUUUAUAUACCGUAGUGUUCUCAGAAAACUAUUGAGAAUAAAUUGGACAUUGGUCAAAGAUCCUUCGAGUAGAUUAUAUUUUCUUAUUUUCCGUUAUACGAGUUUGGGAAAAAAUACCCGCAACGUUUUCAAUAACGGUGAAUCUGCAGAGGAAAUUCGUUACCUCGCCCCCGGUUUUCACGUUAUACCUUUUUUCGUUUUAAUGAUCACAGAAACGAUCACUAUAAUCGUAGGUACUUCAGCGUUUUAUACGAAUUCAACUAUUUUUUUUUUUUUUUUUUUUGAUCUCAAUUAAAUGUUGCAUCUUAAUUAUAACAGUUUUAAAGACACGGUAUUCGCGCAGUAUUUAAUUUUAUGACAUUAACUGACCGCAUUAUUUAUGUUACUUUUAUACUCAAAUCUCUCUGCGGAUUAUUCAUAACUAAUAUCAUUGUUAUUACUCUCUGAAAAUUAUCAAAUUUACUACAAAAUUAUUUAUUUAGAUUCGUUAUUAUUUUGCGAACCGUAAAAUUUACCGUUGGUAUUUUUUUCUACAGAUAAGCCAUGAUCUCUGUAAUAAUAAAGUUGUGGUGUAUUUGACGACAAAGCCGUAUGGAUAAUACUUGCUGCGAUCCCGGUACAUCGGUUCGUGUUACGUUUAAAAAAAAAA
Molecule: non-coding RNA, 818 nt
Organism: Cinara cedri
Lineage: Eukaryota; Metazoa; Arthropoda; Insecta; Hemiptera; Aphididae
Source: the annotation of a GenBank genome assembly